This 72-nucleotide transfer RNA is filed under the name Solirubrobacteraceae bacterium. RNAcentral describes it as "tRNA-Ala". It matches the Rfam family "tRNA". Rfam says of the family: Transfer RNA (tRNA) molecules are approximately 80 nucleotides in length. RNAcentral also lists the same sequence under 1 other name. Lineage: Bacteria; Bacillati; Actinomycetota; Thermoleophilia; Solirubrobacterales; Solirubrobacteraceae. The record is from RNAcentral.
GGGGGCGUAGUGGUAACGGGAGCACGCUGGCUUUGCAAGCCGGAAGUAGGGGUUCGAUUCCCCUCGCCUCCA